CUUUUACAGGUACAGUGAGGUAGCUCUGCAACUUUAGCAAACAGUCUGUCACCUGACUUGAUCUUUGGUCUUUGGACUUGAGGGUAGUGGUGCAGCUAACUGGCUAACUAACGUAACACCAAUCAAUGAAUAUGCUCAUACAUAGCAGCUAGCCAGUUCAUGCCGGUGGCUGGUGAAGACUAAUUUUAGCGAGAAACCCAGACUGUGUUUUACAUUCUAACAAGCGAUGUUAGUAUGCUUAAACGAUAUCCGUUUUCUCAAAGAGGGCAAUGUUUGCUAACCUGGUCAUUCAAACCUACUGCUAAUGUAAAUAUUCACCUUACCCAAACACCGAUCAUUCUUGUGACGGUGCGUCAGAAUAAAAUUCCCGAAUGGAAACUGGAGCUAGAGUUUAGAGUUCUGGUUGUGAAACACGGAACAAAGAAAUCUGAGAAUGAAAAUCCAGAGUGGUGAGGAAUCAAGUGGUAGAAGACUUCACUGACCUCUUAAUAUAACCUCUAUGACUGCAACAGGGUUCCGUGGUAAUGGCCUGGUCACGGCACCUUGACAUGUGGCAGCAACUGAGGGAUCAGGGGUCACAAAUGCAGUCCUACUGGUGAGGAAAGGGUUCCAGCAGUGACUGACAGGAGAGGAGGGCUCAUUGGUUCCCAUAUAGAGACUGACUAACUAGCCGUUGGGGACUUCCACUUCCAGCCACAGGACACCCGUUGGACCCAGAGAUGGACCGGCCACAGCCUGAACAACAGUGCUCUUUUCUGGGUUACAAACCUGUGGUCAAUACUGCUGCAUCUCCUCUCCUGCUCCAGCAGAUGUGGAUCCCCAUGGUGACAGGAGAAGAACACCAGAGACACUGCAGAUGGAUGAGUUACACAUCACAAAGAGGAGGAGACAGAAUGACAGACUGCAGGCGCCAUCUGGGAGCGAGAUGUGCAUUACAGGAGCUAUCCAUAUGGUCGGGGCAUCAUGACUUUGCUCAUCUCAUCUCCCGUCAACAUCUCUUCUGCUCAAGUCCUCUCUCAAAUGAUCCACAUACACAUUCUAAACAGAAAGACAAAAACAUGCUCGUGUUUAUAGAUUUUUGCAGAGAUUAUACAAAUUUACACAUAACAGUCGGUAUUAGAUUAAAAUGUUAAACUCAUGUCUUCAAUACUCUUAAAAUGUACAUUUCCUCAUGAAUCGGGUGCUAUAGAUUAAGACUCUUCAUACAAUCUGAUUAUAGUACAUUUAUUAUAAUACAGAAAAUGAUUUGCCACCUCCAUAUCAUCCCCACCCCCAGACGUUGUUCAGUGUCGGGAGCUGGGGGCUUUUUUAAACCCAUCUGCUGUCUCGCACCUUCUAAUCUGCCCCCCCCCAGAACCCAAUGGCAUCGUACUCCUCAUCCUGUCCCCAUCCUACCCACUCAUCACCCAGUGCAUAAUAUAUUCCCCCUGUAACCAAAUACUACAGCUCACAUUGUAUUAAGCCACGUUGCAUAUGCUUAUAACACACACAGUGAUGUUUACAGACCUGUCAUCUGGAAUGUAC
Long non-coding RNA from Oncorhynchus tshawytscha (Chinook salmon), 1524 nucleotides. Lineage: Eukaryota; Metazoa; Chordata; Actinopteri; Salmoniformes; Salmonidae. The record is from Ensembl.